AUUUUCUACACGCAAGGUGGAGCCUUCUCUUUCUUAUCGUUCUCCUGAAGCAAAUCUAACCUAGCCUGCCUCACUUAUGAAUCCUUUGUGAGCGAGCGAGCGAGCAAGCAAGCAAAGAGAAACCUUCAUCUAAGCAGUUGAACAGGUGGCUAGUAGAGUCUUUGUACACGGAUACGCACGAGAAAGGGAAAUCCAUCCAAGGGCACUUGCGGCCUUGAUGAACCAUGUUGCUAGGGGAACCCACAGAGCCACGAAACGCAGAAAGGUAACUGUAGCAACCUAUUAAAAGUCCACCCCCCACGCAGAACCCGGUGCUGUUCCAGCGUUUACUUAUGCAUGGGUGCAGCAGUAGAAGCAAGAGCUGCGUACGUUUGUUUAGCUGUGCUGGAGAGUUUUAAAAGCAAACAUACUGGACUCUGUUUUUCUCCGUCUACUAAAACAAGACUGCAGUGCAAAACAUAGUACAUAGGAUUCUAGCAGGCGGGGAGUGGGGGAGUCUUUUCUGCCUUUGUUUUCUUCUUAAAGAAUUAUGGCUACCCUAGCAGUCAUAAGGGAUAGUGGUCCCAAAUAUUUUCUUCAGGUGGAAAACAGAAGGAGAAAUGUUUUUGUGACCCAACUAGGAGAACACAGGGAAGAAGAGGAUGAAAAUGUGUCUUACGUGCCAAUUGUUCCUGAGGGCUGAAGCUCUUGAUUUUGAUAUAUAUAUAAAAGCAUGUGAACGUAAGAAGAAGCGUGCAUGUCAGAAAUACCAGCGUGAACGAAAACACAAUGCCACAAAGGGGCAACAGUUGUUGGAGCUGAAAACAGAACUUAAAAAGCUGAAAGUUAGGUCCUGCUUAGCAAAAUUUCUAGCCUUCAGUCAAAGUAUGAUGAAUUACGAGAGAGAAACAUACACUUGUAUCACCUUGUUAAUGAUAAAGAAGGCCUUUUCAGUCAAGAGAGGCAAGAUCUAA
This is a long non-coding RNA of Salvator merianae (Argentine black and white tegu), 953 nucleotides long. Lineage: Eukaryota; Metazoa; Chordata; Lepidosauria; Squamata; Teiidae. The record is from Ensembl.